CCUACGGGGAGCAGCAGUGAGGAAUAUUGGUCAAUGGACGAGAGUCUGAACCAGCCAAGUAGCGUGAAGGAUGACUGCCCUAUGGGUUGUAAACUUCUUUUAUAUGGGAAUAAAACGUUCCACGUGUGGGAUUUUGUAUGUACCAUAUGAAUAAGGAUCGGCUAACUCCGUGCCAGCAGCCGCGGUAAUACGGAGGAUCCGAGCGUUAUCCGGAUUUAUUGGGUUUAAAGGGAGCGUAGGUGGAUUGUUAAGUCAGUUGUGAAAGUUUGCGGCUCAACCGUAAAAUUGCAGUUGAAACUGGCAGUCUUGAGUACAGUAGAGGUGGGCGGAAGUCGUGGUGUAGCGGUGAAAUGCUUAGAUAUCACGAAGAACUCCGAUUGCGAAGGCAGUUCACUGGACUGCAACUGACACUGAGGCUCGAAAGUGUGGGUAUCAAACAGGAUUAGAUACCCGAGUAGUC
Molecule: ribosomal RNA, 460 nt
Filed under: uncultured bacterium
Lineage: Bacteria
Description: partial 16S ribosomal RNA
Rfam family: Bacterial small subunit ribosomal RNA
Source: RNAcentral